This is a long non-coding RNA of Cervus elaphus (red deer), 1483 nucleotides long. RefSeq lists it as uncharacterized. The record is from RefSeq and is a predicted model, not a curated record. Lineage: Eukaryota; Metazoa; Chordata; Mammalia; Artiodactyla; Cervidae. The transcript has 3 exons.
AGCUCUCAAGUUGUACUUCUUUUUUUAGUCGACAGUUAUGGUGACCAACGAAGCGACCCAGAGUGGACUUCCUUCCUUCAACUGGACUCCACAAGGAACUGGAGCUUUGGUACCAGCAGUGGCCCCUUGAGCCCAUCUGCCUCCUCGGGGAGGGGGCCACAUGUCAAAGAAGUGAGGACUUAAAUCCUACAGUUGCAAGGAACUGAAUUCUGCCAAGAAUAAGCUUGGAAAACGACUCUUCCCCAGAGCCUCCAAUGAGAAUUAAGCUUGGCCAUAACCCUGAUUGCAUCCUUGUGGCAACUUCAGCAGAGAGCCCUGUCCAGCCAUGCUGGACCUCCAUACAGAAUUUGUGCUUGAAUUAAAUCCGUUUUAACCAAAGAAGGCAUUUGAACAUGGAGUAAAAUUGGCAUGACUGACUGUAUCCUGACCCUAUCAAGCAUGGAAUCACAACUAACAACAUACAUGAAACAUGAUCAAAAACCCUGGAGGCUUAAGACAGCAACUCCAUUGACUCCAACAGGCACUUCAACAGAUUUUAACAGAUGUGAGAUGAAUGACACAAAAUAAAUAAAACCUAAUGUGAAUAAUCAGCCACAAGAUGGCAUUUGAAUACUAAUGUAUUUAAAGUUUGGGGCAGUAACUUAAACACAUGGUUAUUUUAAUCUUUUCCUUUCCCUGGUCACUGUUUCUGAAAUUGCCAUGUAAGAAGAUCACAACUUUAUUUUCUCUAUAGCCUAAGUCAUAAACAUUUAUUUAUCAGCUUACUUUUUAUCUCUUGUGAUGGUUGAUUUUAUGUGUCAAUUUCACUGGGUCAUGAGGUGCUCAAAUGUUUGGUCAUUUUCUGUGUGUUUCUGUGGGGGUAUUUUUAGAUGAGAUUAACAUUAAAUUGGUAGACUUAAGAAAGCAGAUUGCUCUUUAUAACAUGGGUGGGCCUCAUCCAAUCAGUUGAAGACCCUAACAAGGUUGAUCCUUCAUUACUUUUUUUUUCCCCCUUCAUUACUUAAGAGAGAAUUCUCCUCUUUGAUGACCUCAAAACUGGAACAGAAGUUCUUCCUGGUUCUAGAGCUGCCUAUUGGUCUUCAGAUUCAAACCAGGACAUUGGCUCUGCAGAUUUUAGACUUGCAGUCUCCAUAAUUCCAUAGGCCAAUACUUAAUUAUCUAUCUAUCAGCUACCAUAUUGGUUCUGCUUUUCUGAAGAGUACUACUAUAUCUCUCAAUUUAUUGUUAAUUAACUGCCCACUAGAGUAGAAGUUCCAUAAAGGCAAUAACUUUGUCUUGUGCUAUUAUAUUUCUAAUGUCCAGACCAGGUCAUAAAAAUUAUGCAGACAACCAUUUGUUGAGUGAAAGCAUCGUGGCAGGGGAGCAAUGAUGCAUGUAGAUGUUUUGAGGGUGGCACUGAAGGGGUACAAAUAUGUCAGCUUUAGAAAAUGGUAUCUUUGGGUGGAUGUUGAAAUCAUGCCACAGUGAUAUGAAAAAUAAAAUG